Non-coding RNA from Xyrichtys novacula (pearly razorfish), 7417 nucleotides. The record is from the annotation of a GenBank genome assembly. NCBI's taxonomy places the organism in Eukaryota, Metazoa, Chordata, Actinopteri, Labriformes, Labridae.
GCCAGCGCAGCGUCAGCGUAUCCCCAAGCAACCAACAUGGCCGCUUCCGCCAAUGGAAAGUACGUUGAAUCCGCUUGUGGCGGUCGAAUUUUAACGAACUGGGCGAUGUUGUUUCACCGAAACAAGACAGACUUACCGCACUUGGAGCGUUUACUGGUGAAGGAGGUGAGUUAUCUUUCCUCUUUAAACCGUUAUCUGUUUAAUUUCCGUCGCUGUUCGCCUCGUCACAGACUAAAUUAAUCUGGUUGGUUGGAAGUCUCGACCGUUGGUGUUAGAAGCACUUUCGAGCGAUUAAGAAGGAGUUUGUUAAAUGUGACGUUAGAAACUGACGUUCGAACGUUUUAACUCCAACAUACAAAUUUUAACUUGUUCAGAAUGUUUUAACUUGUAUAAAAUAUUUACACACGGAGUUUAGACUUAUGAAUGUAAUAGUUCGGAUUUAUAUACUGAUUCAGUAAGUUCUUUUCUGAAUCUGAAGUCACAGGAAAAAGUUUUUUUUUCCCUUUUUUUUUUUACUUGAGUCAAUUGUCCUGUACAACCACAACUCAGUUAUUACAAUACUCUGGAUCUGCCGCUACAGCCUCACAAAUGAGCUUUAGCAUGUCCAACCUGCCUACUCCCAGUACCGAGAGUAGGGGAGAGUGGGGUAAGAUGAACCAUUUUUCACAUUUCAGAUCACUACAUCAAGUCAAUCCUAGUUUUGUCUCUAACUCGUGUAUCUGCGUAUAUUUCAAUAUGUUGUUCAUUCCUGCAAACCAACAGAAUGAGUGUAAACAGAACUGUCUUGAUAAUAUAGCAUGCCAAAAAAAGUGGUCUCCUAUGGUCAACUUACCCCGUGUAUGGGGUAAGUUGACCAUAGGAGAGCGGGGUAAGUUGAGCCGAAUCCCUACUACUUUCUCAGUUACCCCAGAACUACUAUGAUGACUUUAUUAGUCCUCUAAGCUAAAAUGGUGGACUUUUAUGUUAGCUCAUAGACACCACAAUUGAUGUAUAAAACAAAUUUAAAAUGAUCUUUUUUGGUCUGAACACAAUUCUAAUGAAACUUCUGACAGACUAAAUUCACUUUCAAGAGUGAAAAAUGUUUUUUUUUGGAAAUAAAUGUCUAACCCCUUCACCUAUGUGCUUCUAACUUUCACAAACUUUAUGAAUUGAUACCCAUCUCCUAAAUAUUUGGUCCUCCUUGAGGUUUUGUUGCUAAUACCGCAAAAGAAAAAAAGAGUAAACAGAUAAUUAGAUAGUGCCUGCAACUCUAGGCUGCAUAAUAUUGGUGUGGGCCUAUGCUUGGACAGCUGAUAUCCAUUUUAGUGGUUGACUUAUAUCAGUUUUUUUAAUGGCUGAUAAAUAAAGUCCAUGUAAAAUAAAAGAUAAAUCAAAAAUAAAAACACCCACCCUCUCUAUUCCUCGAACUAGGAGCAGUAGUGAUCCUGCAGCUGCCCUGACUUGUACACCUUUGGGACUCGACAGGCAAACCUGAAACACUCUGCAGCCCCAUUACUGCUGCACCUGUCACUACAGCAGCGUGAACAUGGCACGGUAAGUGUUGAGAAGGGGGCACAGAGUAUUAUUCCUCACCUUUUAUAUGUGUGAGUGCAUUAUGUGUAAGGCUAUGGAACAAUAAAGCUUUAAUGAAGCUUUAAUGGGAGAGCGCUGCUGCUUACAGCCUGCCAGGUUAGAGCCAUUAGCAGGAGCUGAGUUUACGUCAGAGUUGAUGUUUCCAUCCUUUUAUUCUGCUGCUCAUUGGCUGCUUACUGUGCCCGGAGGUCACCUGUCAGCACAGGUGGAGGGGAGAAAGUACAUUUACUAGAAUAUUGAACAAUACAGAGAACUUUGAAUUAUAUAUGAUCAAUUUCACUUUGUUUUUCUGUGCUUCAAAAAGGCUUGUAUUGUUAAAAUGAGCUGUUUUUAGGGGAAAACACAAGUAUGUUGACAUAGGAGAAAACAUGUAAGAGCUCCUCUCAAAAGGUCAGGUUGUUGGUGUGACAGAUUUAGAUGGCUUAGUGUGCCUGGACACUAACACUAACGAGCGGUUUGCACUUGUAUGCCACUUUGCUUCAUUCAGCCACCUUCUCUGGUGGAUCUUUACUCUAUCAGUUAAAGUCCAGGUGUGUUAGAGUUGCAUAGACAGGUAACUGAAGCUCAUAAAGUCAACAUAGUUAAACUAGAUGUCUGUCAGCUGCAGCGUUGUUGCUGAUUUCCAAACAGAAUGUAAAAUUUUAAAGGGAUAUUCUGUUGUGAAAUUAAGUUAGGGUCAAACACACUGUAACACUGAGUUAAACACCCCCUCCAAAGAUGAAUGUUGCCGACCUAGUGCUGGACGAUAAUUCGAUAACAAUAUAUAUCGAUCGAUAGACGUGUGGUGCGAUAGAAAAAAAACGGGUCGAUAAAAAGUUCGAUAGAAAAACACAGUUUCCCUUUCUUUUUCAUCAUAGCCUAUCAUGUAGCUUUUACUACAGUCAUUACUUCCUCCCAACCAAUCACAAACGCAGACCCAGGUACGCUACGGCACCAAGCCCAGCCCCUCUCAAACCACAACAGACAGCACGUGUAUCAGAAAAAAUGAUACAGCAAGGAGAAGCGGAGGAAAUUGUCCCGAAAAAAGGUUUCAGUAGUUCACCAGCAUGGCAAUGUUUUGGUUUUUAGAAGUCUGACAAAAAGCGAACAGCGGUCGUUUGCAAAAUUUGCAGAGAAUUAGUAAAAACGAAGUCUGGUAACACAACCAACUUGUUUUACCAUCUAAACCGAUCGCACCCGCAGGAGUACGAGCUGUGUCGGCCCAGAGCAGUAGAUUCUGUGUCGGCCGCGCCGCGGCUCCACGUCAUCGUCGGAGGAAUCCUCUGGAACCGCUGCCAGCACCAGCACAAAGCAAGUGAAGCAGACCAAACUGGACUUCGUUUCUUGCCAAAAUACGGCAAAGCGUCCGAGCGGCAUAAGGACAUCACCCAUGCAGUAACAUGCUCCAUAGCGAGGGACAUACUGCCAAUAACUACCGUUGAAAAGCCUGGCUUCGACCAGCUUCUAGCCACUCUCGACCCGCGAUAUGAAGUGUCCGGCCGUAAGUAUUUCUCAAACACAGCGCUUCAGGCAUGAAAAUGGGUCAGGGGUUGAAAAGGUGAGAAGGGUGCGGAGGAAAUACGUUCCGGUGUAGCUUCUUAAAGUGGAAGAAAAUGAGCUCAUAUUUUACAAAGACGCGAGUAUUUGGAUCAUGGCUACUAGCAGGGGGUGCAUUCGGCAGGGGUGCAUUCUACGACACAACACCGGCGUGGAUAAGUCCUGCUUCUCGUGCUCAGUUUGUGUAUUAAGUCAAUCACAUGAUAAUUAAAAAAAAUAAAUCUCCCGACCCCGGGAGAAAUAUUUCAGUGUUCAGACACCAGGCUGUGGGCAGUUUCCCACACAGUUAUAACUGGUAGUAUGCUAUUCCCACCUAAAGCUAUUCUGUUUAUUUAUAUAUUUGUAUAUCAUCAAAAGACUAUUUAAAUAUUUAUUUAUCAGAUUUUCUGGUCACUUUAGUCUUUAUGUUUGUCAGUAUUUACUGACGUCACUCAGGCCACUUAAGUUGAUUUCUUUUUUUUUUUAAGUUCUUUUUUAAAAAACUUUCAGUUGUGGUAAAAUAAAAAAGGUGGUUGAAUAAAGGUUUGAAUUUGAAUUCAGUGCUUGUGUGUUCUUUAUUAAAAGUAGGUCAUUAAGCAAUAGCAUAAAACAUCCAGGGCUGCAAUUAAAAUAUAUGUUAAAUAAUUAUAACAAUUAUAUCGAUAAUUAUCGAUAUCGAUCAAUAUGAUUUAUUUGUUAUCGAUAUGUUUUUUUUCUAUAUCGUCCAGGCCUAUGCCGACCGCUUGCUUCUCUAGUCAUACCAACUUUAGUAACGACCACAGGAUAGCAAUACACAGCGAUCUGAGGAGCCAUAAACAAACCUCAACCAAAACGCCACUCUAUAGCCACAAAUAAUGCUCAGAACAGCACCUAACUUCAUCAACAACCUUAUUUCUUUAGCAAAGAGACUAAACAAAACUCACCUACUCUCUUCCAGCAGCCGUUUGUUUGUAGUGAGACCUCAGGCCGGUACAUUACGGACUACAGCGGGGUGACGCAGCUCAAGGAAGAACAUUUAUGAUCAUUUCUUCAUGGAAAUGCAAUCAGACCGAGACGCUAAGGCAGAAGAACUACAGCGUCUGCAGUGCAAAAUAAUUCAUAUGGUGAUUAUUACUUCAAGGAAAUGAUAAAGUAAUGAUCAUAAAUGUUCUUCCUUGAGCUGCAUCACCCCACUGUAGUCUGUAAUGGACUGCCGUGCGGUCUCUCUCACUGUCUCUUUGCUAAAGAAAUCAGGCAAAGCUAAAAAGAUGUUUGAUGGCUGGGACCCUACAUUUACUCUUCAUGAAGUUAGGUGCUGUUCUGAGCAUUAUUUGUGGCUAUAGAGUGGCGUUUUGGUUGAGGUUAGUGUGUGGUUCUAUAGACCACUCUGUAUUGCUAUCCUGCGGUCGUUACUAUAACGACUAUAAGUUGGUAUAACGAGAGAAGCAAGCGGUUGGCAACAUUCAUCUCUGGAGGGGGUGUCUAACUCGGUGUUACGGCGUGUUUGACCCUAAAUUAAUUUUACACCAGAAUAUCCCUUUAAACAGUGCAGUUUAUAAUUAUCCGCCCAAACCCCCUCCGUGCUCCAGCCUCCUCUCUUGUCCUUCACUGCUUCCCGGGGUUCACUGUGUUGUUAAAGGGCACCUCAGUGGUGUACUGCCCUCCUCCACCUGCCUCACACACGCACACAGACAACACACACACACACAUUACCCUUCCCUUUCCUCACCUCUGGGCGACCAUCGCCCCACUUAUUAACACCCUCUCUGCUUUCAUGUGCGUGUGUCGGAGCCGUGCUUGUUUACUCCUCUCGGUUUUACCUCGUGUAAACCGCUGAACAACAUAUGGGGAUGCUGCCGCCAUAUGUUGGUGUUUUGCUGUUUGCAGAUCCUCGCUCUCCUUCUCUGUUUCUUGGAUGAGUGGCUGCGUGAGCACGCCAUCGUAACACGACUUAACCCAGGUCACCGCCUGCAGAUGUUUGUGUGUUGUCUUUUCUUUUUCUCGGGGAUUAAAAGAUUGUUGGCACAAGUUAAGACACUUUUAUUGACGUGUGUGUGUGUGUGUGAGUUUGUGAGCCGGGUCGGAGGAGAGAGAGAGUUCCAGGAGUUCAGGGGUUCGUGUGAAUCAUUAUGUAUGGGAAAUGCACGGCUGUUUGCCUGAGUAUAUGAGCUUGCGUCAGAGAGCUUUAUCACGCAUAUCUUAAUUAUUUGAUCCAGAUGACGUUAUUAAAGCUUUGAAGGAUGAAGGAGUCAGACUUUUUAGACCAUGCAGUAAAAGUUUGACUUCUCUCUUGACUUUUACUCAUAUUUGGACAUUUUUCUUCAACAAAACUGUUUUAACCCUUAGAACUCCCAGCUAUAUUUUUAUAUCUUUGGUCCGCCUGUUUUUUGUUUUUUUUGUGAAAAUCUUUGUAGCGACUCUAACCUUUUGAGCACAGCAAAAUACACAUCUUUAUUUUCAGGACAACCUCAGCUGUCCGUUUAUUGGUGCAAAAAAUAUGUAAAAUAAAUGUGACAGUAGAUUCAGAACCAUCAAACUCAACCAAAAAACAAAAAACGGAAAUUGAUACCAACAGUACUUUGCUCAAAAAACACAUAAAUCUACAGUGACCAAGCCUUUUCUCACCUGCACAUCAUUCUCUCAAGUCUUGGCUCUCAGGAGAAGAAAUAUUGGGAUUGGAACAAACACACAACAGAAACUAUUUACAUAUUUACACUAAUUAUUCCAGGCGUUUUUUUGCUAUUUACAGUUGUUUCUGCCACUCCUUGAAGCAGUUCCUGUCUGGGAUGAGACAGAGGACCACAUUAUACUGCUCAUAAGGCGUCAAAAUUCGCCUCAGAAUAUUUCGUAAUUUCGCGUCGGAUAUUUGCGUCAGUCCUGGUGUGUAAGGACCUUCAGUGUUAAAAGUCUUUUUCUUCACACUUCAACUUUUUCCUUAAUAUUCAUCAUGAAAAAAAGUCCUCUUUAUUUUUCCUCGUCUCUUUACUCUUCAAACAAGCUUCACUUCAGAUGGCGAUAGUCUUUUCAUUUCACGUUCCCAGGUUUAUAUCAUGUAACGAACAUGUUUGUGCAUAUGUGUGUUUGUGUGUGCGUCCGUGUGUGUGUGCGUGUUUGCUCAUGUGUAGGAGUGACGCACUCUCUGAUGGCCAGAGGACACUUUGACUCAUCCUUGUCUGUUGACUGUACAGGGGUCUGGCAGGUCCACCACUGAGAGCAACAACGUGAACCUUUACCCCCCCCCGUACAUCCACACAAACACACACACACCCUAACUUACACACACCCUUCCUGGCCGAGAGGAAGAGUUGUAAAAAGACCUCCUUUUCUAUCUAGGAGUUAUUUUAGAAACUACGUUCAAAUUUCAGGUUAAACGGGUGUUUUACUGCCUCAUAUCUGGAGCACAAACACUGAAAAUGUCCCAAGAAAUCACAGUUUCUCUCUUGUUUCUUGGCGUGCUAGCCUUCAAGCAGAGGCCAUCUUUGCUUUGACCUACUUUUGAGCGUCUUGACAUUUAUCCGUUCAUACAUGUUACUAUAGAGACGAGAGGUGGUGUUGUGCCGGAGCAGACAGUGAAAAUCGCCCUGAGAAAGUUUCCCAGCCCUGUUAUCGAAGCUCUGAACAGAUGCUCGAUUGGAAAUCACCUCAGAGAGAUUUUUCUGCAGGUUUUAGAGAGAAAUCAAGCGGUCAUGACGGGGUAGAAGUGGGAGAUGUGACACGGGUCUGCACGUCAGACGGUCUUGGCUGUGAUUGGACGGGGACGGGAACAGCCUGGAGGGGAACUGAAGAAGAGUCGAUGACAGGACAUCACGUCAAAGGAGCAACAAGCUGUCCCACGAUCAUCGACAGUCCGCUGAUGCCUCAAUCUGAACUCAUCUAUUGUAGAGAUUUGUGAUUGACAGUGACUGAACUCUACCUCCACCAACAUGAGGCCAAAUCUCUCAUCCAGUGUUUUUUGAUUGCUUUAAAUAACUGUGUUCUUGUUAUGUCAUUUUCUUUUUGUAUGUUUUUAGCGUCUUUAAACCCACAUUUGCUUAUUAAUAGUACGUUCUAAGUCCGUACAGCACACGCUCUGUAGAAAUCGGAAACCCUCCAGAGACUUUCCACCAGUUUCUGUGAACAGGACAAAGUCCAGAGAGGCAACUGAGGGAUCCGAUCAAAAAAAGGCCAAAAAAACAACAAGCCAGGUGUCGACUCACGUCAUGUCCUCAUCGUCAUGAGACCCGAGGGUUCGACCUUCCUCCUCUAUAAUCACAGUGGAGCUCCUCCUCAUCCUCUGCUGAUGGUCCCAGUGAAACCUCAAGGGGAUCAUUAAAGGUUCAUUUCUUCAAGAAGAGCUCCACAUCACGCUGCC